RNAcentral lists this ribosomal RNA (369 nucleotides) under uncultured bacterium. RNAcentral describes it as "partial 16S ribosomal RNA". It matches the Rfam family "Bacterial small subunit ribosomal RNA", at positions 338 to 724 of the family's 1533-position model. The record is from RNAcentral.
CCUACGGGAGGCAGCAGUGGGGAAUAUUGCACAAUGGGGGGAACCCUGAUGCAGCGACGCCGCGUGGGUGAGGAAGUACCUCGGUAUGUAAAGCCCUAUCAGCAGGGAAGAAACUGACGGUACCUGACUAAGAAGCCCCGGCGAACUACGUACCAGCAGCCGCGGUUAUACGUAGGGGGCCAGCGUUAUCAUGAUUUACUGGGUGGAAAGGGAGCGUAGGCGGGGUGUCAAGGCUGGUGUGAAAGGUCGGGGCUCAACCCCGGGACUGCAUUUGAAACUGGCAUGCUGGAGUGCCGGAGGGGCAAGCGGAAUUCGUGGUGUAGCGGUGAAAUGCGUAGAUAUUAGGAAGAACACCGAUUGCGAAGGCAG